This 77-nucleotide transfer RNA is filed under the name Methylophilaceae bacterium. RNAcentral describes it as "tRNA-Pro". It matches the Rfam family "tRNA". Rfam says of the family: Transfer RNA (tRNA) molecules are approximately 80 nucleotides in length. Their secondary structure includes four short double-helical elements and three loops (D, anti-codon, and T loops). Further hydrogen bonds mediate the characteristic L-shaped molecular structure. tRNAs have two regions of fundamental functional importance: the anti-codon, which is responsible for specific mRNA codon recognition, and the 3' end, to which the tRNAs corresponding amino acid is attached (by aminoacyl-tRNA synthetases). tRNAs cope with the degeneracy of the genetic code in two manners: having more than one tRNA (with a specific anti-codon) for a particular amino acid; and 'wobble' base-pairing, i.e. permitting non-standard base-pairing at the 3rd anti-codon position. RNAcentral also lists the same sequence under 1 other name. Lineage: Bacteria; Pseudomonadati; Pseudomonadota; Betaproteobacteria; Nitrosomonadales; Methylophilaceae. The record is from RNAcentral.
CGGGGCGUAGCGCAGCCUGGUAGCGUACUUGCAUGGGGUGCAAGGGGUCGAGAGUUCGAAUCUCUCCGCUCCGACCA